RNAcentral lists this transfer RNA (73 nucleotides) under Clavulina sp. RNAcentral describes it as "tRNA-Lys". It matches the Rfam family "tRNA". Rfam says of the family: Transfer RNA (tRNA) molecules are approximately 80 nucleotides in length. The record is from RNAcentral. Lineage: Eukaryota; Fungi; Basidiomycota; Agaricomycetes; Cantharellales; Hydnaceae.
GAAAGCAUAGCUUAGUUGGUAGAGCGUGGUACUUUUAAUGCUAAGGUCGUCAGUUCGAAUCUGACUGUUUUCU